AUUGAACGCUGGCGGCAGGCCUAACACAUGCAAGUCGAACGAGUGGCGGACGGGUGAGUCAUGUCUGGGAAACUGCCUGAUGGAGGGGGAUAACUACUGGAAAAGGUAGCUAAUACCGCAUACAAUCAGAUGUGCCCAGAUGGGAUUAGCGAGUUGGUGGGGUAACGGCUCACCAAGGCGCCGAUCCCUAGAUGGUCUGAGAGGAUGAACGUCCACACUGGAACUGAGACACGGUCCAGACUCCUACGGGAGGCAGCAGUGGGGAAGAUUGCACAAUGGGCGCAAGCCUGAUACAGCCAUGCCGCGUGUAUGAAGAAGGCCUUCGGGUUGUAAAGUACUUUCAGCGGGGAGGCGUUACCCGCAGAGGAAGCACCGGCUAACUCCGUGCCAGCAGCCGCGGUAAUUC
Molecule: ribosomal RNA, 406 nt
Filed under: uncultured bacterium
Lineage: Bacteria
Description: partial 16S ribosomal RNA
Rfam family: Bacterial small subunit ribosomal RNA
Source: RNAcentral